UGACACAUUUUGUGCAUCAGUCCAUAAAGACAGCAGACGACAUCGUGCUAUGCUAGAAAUGUGAUUAUUUCUCAAUUUUAUCUCCUAAUCAAAGUAUUUCUAGCAGCGAUGGUGACAAAAUUUUAUUAUUUGUUUCUGCUACUAAUAAGUGUUAAAGUUGGUUUGUGUAGCGAAAGGGAAACUUACACGAUAGGAAUAAUCUUUAAUGAAAUGCCAAAUGAUGCUGAAUAUCCAUUGAAUGAUACAAUUAUCAGAACUAAUAUCAUCGAAAAACAUUCGCCGAUAUAUCUUGCCGCUAAUAUACAAACCACUUCCAAGACUGAUAUAUUUGAUACUUCAAAAGUCGUUUGUAAUCUAGUAGAUGAUGGUAUCGUCGCCGUUUUCGGCCCACCGACUUCUGUCACAAGCCCUGUGAUAGAGUCAACUUGUAAGAGCCUUAAUAUCCCCUACAUAGUGACUUCAUGGAGAAAAACUAAUUUGGACGAAUCAGAUGUAUUUUUGAAUUUCUAUCCAGAUGCCGACAAACUGGCCAAAGGUAUUUCUGAAGUAGUAAAGAGCCUAGAGUGGAUAGGUUUUAUUAUUCUAUAUGAAGACGAAGAAGGUCUAGUUAAAUUACAAGAAGUUCUGAAACUUCAAAAUGUUGAGAAAAUGGAUAACCAAGAUUAUAUACGUGUUGAACAACUCACCAAUGGGCCUGAUUAUAGGCACAUUUUCAAGAAAUUUAAAAAUUCUACUGAGAACAAUGUCAUACUUGAUUGUAAAACAGAAAAUAUUUUACCAAUAUUAGCUCAAGCAAAAUCAUUAGACAUGGUAGACAUUCGGUACAACUAUUUUCUAACAUCAUUGGAUGCCCAUACGAUUGACUUUUCUAGUCUGAAUGUGACUGCAAACAUUACCACAAUUAGAAUUUUUGACUCUGACAAUGAGAACUUUUUAAGCGCAAUACAAAAAUGGAAUAUAGCGGCUGUUGAGUUUAACAGAAAAACAAUGACUAUUGAUCCAGAUACUCUAAAGACUGAAACAUUACUCUUUCAUGAUGCUCUGGUUUAUUUAUCUACAACAUUGAAGGAUAUGCCUUACAUUUCCAACGCAAAAGUAAACUGUUUUGGAAUGGAUAUAUAUUUGGAUGGUCCGGAUAUUAUUAGAUCAACAAAAGAGAAAAAUGACUUGGCUACCAUAACUGGACCAAUAAAGUUUGAUGACAGCGGCAAUAGAGAAUACUUUAAUCUGUAUGUGUACACCCAAUUAGACGACCAACUUAUCGCUACAUAUAUUGCUGAAAAUGAAACUCUUAAAUUGAUGAGAACUUCAGAAGAAACAAAUCUAGCAGCUAUAUCAAGCUUGAAAAAAGUUAAUGUCAUUGUUUCCACAAGAGUUGGUGAACCAUAUUUGAUGCUAGCUGAAUCUCCCGAUGGAAAAGUAUUGGAAGGAAAUGAUAGGUACGAAGGCUAUACCAAAGAUUUAAUGAACGAAAUUGCUGCUAUUUUGGAAUUUAAAUACGAAAUUAUGAUCACAGAAAAUAACGUUUAUGGAAAAUAUCUAGCCGACGAAAAAAGAUGGAAUGGUUUAAUUGGCGAUUUACUAGAAGGGAAUGCACAUUUGGCUCUCUGCGAUUUGACUAUCAAUCAACAAAGGCGAUCAAUAGUGGAUUUUAGCAUGCCAUUUAUGACUUUAGGAAUCAGUAUUCUACACAAGUCACCCCAGAAGAGUGAUUCCAAACCAUUUGCAUUUUUGGAUCCGUUUGAUACGUCAGUAUGGAUUUAUUCAGCAACAACGUACCUGGUAGUAUCUAUAAUACUUUUCUUUAUAGCAAGGAUGACUCCAGGGGAUUGGGAAAAUCCGCAUCCUUGUGAUCAAGAACCAACUAUGGCCGAAAAUAUAUGGAGCUUACGAAAUUGUCAUUGGGCAACACUGGGUACUAUUAUGAACCAAGGAUGUGAUAUAUUACCCAAAGGAAUAUCGACAAGAUUAGCGCUAGCCAUGUGGUGGUUCUUUGCUCUUAUUAUUACCAAUUCGUACAUUGCCAACUUAACUGCCUUUUUAACCAAAGCCAAUUUGGAUUCUCCCAUAAAAAGUGUUGAUGACCUUGGAAAGCAAAGUAAGAUCAAAUAUGGAUUUUUAGAAGGUGGAGCCACAGAACAGUUUUUCAGAGAAUCUAACAAUUCACUAUACCAAAGAAUGUACUUAAAUAUGAAAUCGGCAAGACCAAGUGUUCUAGAAACCGAUAAUUUAGAUGGCGUACAAAGAGUACAAAAUACAAAAAAUGAAUUAUAUGCUUUUUUAAUGGAAUCCACAACAAUAGAAUACCAUACUGCAACAAAAUGUAACUUGAAACAAGUUGGAGAUUGGUUAGAUUCAAAAAGUUAUGGAAUUGCUAUGCCCAUGACUAAGAAAUUUAGACAAAGACGAUAAUGAAGGAGAUCUCGAUCUAGCAAAAACCAGUGGUAUAUUUCUUGUUUUGGUUGUUGGAGUUAGUAUUGCAUUGGCUAUGGGAUGGAUUGAAUUUUUGUGGAACGUGAGAAACAUAUCUGUCGAGGAACAUAUGACUUACUGGGAAGCUCUCAAAAUGGAGUUAAAAUUUGCAUUUAAUAUUUGGAUAACAAGAAAGAAAAUAAAACCCGAUGUAUCUGAAUCGUCUGCAUCUUCGGAAAGCAAAAGUGAGAAAAUUGAUAAUAGGAGCAUGAUUCAGAAUUUUUUACAUAAUGCUGGAUCUUUCAUGAACGUUAAUCAGGGUUCUUAAUUAUAUAGGAACUUAAUACUUUGUUUUAAAUGCAUCCAUUUUAAAAUUACUAGGAAUAGAACCUACAAUUAGUUGCAUAUAUUUAAUAAAAAUGUAGGUAAAAAAUACAACAGGAUUUAUUCUAGUUGUAAUAUUUUUAAUGAAUUGAAGUAUACUAAACCUAGGUACAAAUUUGUUAAAUAAAACAUUUUUAAAAUCAAUAAAAGGCUUUUUUUAUUA
RNAcentral lists this unclassified non-coding RNA (2959 nucleotides) under Diabrotica virgifera virgifera (western corn rootworm). Its description in RNAcentral is "glutamate receptor ionotropic, kainate 2". Lineage: Eukaryota; Metazoa; Arthropoda; Insecta; Coleoptera; Chrysomelidae. The record is from RNAcentral.